AAAUUGAAGAGUUUGAUCAUGGCUCAGAUUGAACGCUGGCGGCAGGCCUAACACAUGCAAGUCGAGCGGUAGCACAGAGAGCUUGCUCUCGGGUGACGAGCGGCGGACGGGUGAGUAAUGUCUGGGAAACUGCCUGAUGGAGGGGGAUAACUACUGGAAACGGUAGCUAAUACCGCAUAAUGUCGCAAGACCAAAGUGGGGGACCUUCGGGCCUCAUGCCAUCAGAUGUGCCCAGAUGGGAUUAGCUAGUAGGUGGGGUAACGGCUCACCUAGGCGACGAUCCCUAGCUGGUCUGAGAGGAUGACCAGCCACACUGGAACUGAGACACGGUCCAGACUCCUACGGGAGGCAGCAGUGGGGAAUAUUGCACAAUGGGCGCAAGCCUGAUGCAGCCAUGCCGCGUGUGUGAAGAAGGCCUUCGGGUUGUAAAGCACUUUCAGCGGGGAGGAAGGCGGUAAGGUUAAUAACCUUGUCGAUUGACGUUACCCGCAGAAGAAGCACCGGCUAACUCCGUGCCAGCAGCCGCGGUAAUACGGAGGGUGCAAGCGUUAAUCGGAAUUACUGGGCGUAAAGCGCACGCAGGCGGUCUGUCAAGUCGGAUGUGAAAUCCCCGGGCUCAACCUGGGAACUGCAUUCGAAACUGGCAGGCUAGAGUCUUGUAGAGGGGGGUAGAAUUCCAGGUGUAGCGGUGAAAUGCGUAGAGAUCUGGAGGAAUACCGGUGGCGAAGGCGGCCCCCUGGACAAAGACUGACGCUCAGGUGCGAAAGCGUGGGGAGCAAACAGGAUUAGAUACCCUGGUAGUCCACGCCGUAAACGAUGUCGAUUUGGAGGUUGUGCCCUUGAGGCGUGGCUUCCGGAGCUAACGCGUUAAAUCGACCGCCUGGGGAGUACGGCCGCAAGGUUAAAACUCAAAUGAAUUGACGGGGGCCCGCACAAGCGGUGGAGCAUGUGGUUUAAUUCGAUGCAACGCGAAGAACCUUACCUGGUCUUGACAUCCACAGAACUUUCCAGAGAUGGAUUGGUGCCUUCGGGAACUGUGAGACAGGUGCUGCAUGGCUGUCGUCAGCUCGUGUUGUGAAAUGUUGGGUUAAGUCCCGCAACGAGCGCAACCCUUAUCCUUUGUUGCCAGCGGUUAGGCCGGGAACUCAAAGGAGACUGCCAGUGAUAAACUGGAGGAAGGUGGGGAUGACGUCAAGUCAUCAUGGCCCUUACGACCAGGGCUACACACGUGCUACAAUGGCAUAUACAAAGAGAAGCGACCUCGCGAGAGCAAGCGGACCUCAUAAAGUAUGUCGUAGUCCGGAUUGGAGUCUGCAACUCGACUCCAUGAAGUCGGAAUCGCUAGUAAUCGUAGAUCAGAAUGCUACGGUGAAUACGUUCCCGGGCCUUGUACACACCGCCCGUCACACCAUGGGAGUGGGUUGCAAAAGAAGUAGGUAGCUUAACCUUCGGGAGGGCGCUUACCACUUUGUGAUUCAUGACUGGGGUGAAGUCGUAACAAGGUAACCGUAGGGGAACCUGCGGUUGGAUCACCUCCUUACCUUAAAGAA
Molecule: ribosomal RNA, 1550 nt
Filed under: Klebsiella pneumoniae
Lineage: Bacteria; Pseudomonadati; Pseudomonadota; Gammaproteobacteria; Enterobacterales; Enterobacteriaceae
Also listed under: 1 other name
Description: bacterial SSU rRNA
Rfam family: Bacterial small subunit ribosomal RNA
Source: RNAcentral